GACGAACGCUGGCGGCGUGCUUAACACAUGCAAGUCGAACGGAAAGGCCCUGCUUUUGUGGGGUGCUCGAGUGGCGAACGGGUGAGUAACACGUGAGUAACCUGCCCUUGACUUUGGGAUAACUUCAGGAAACUGGGGCUAAUACCGGAUAGGAGCUCCUGCUGCAUGGUGGGGGUUGGAAAGUUUCGGCGGUUGGGGAUGGACUCGCGGCUUAUCAGCUUGUUGGUGGGGUAGUGGCUGACCAAGGCUUUGACGGAUAGCCGGCCUGAGAGGGUGAACGGGCACAUUGGGACUGAGAUACGGCGCAGACUCCUAUGGUAGGCAGUAGUGGAGAAUAUUGCACAAUGGGCGGGCGCCUGAGGCAGCAGCGCCGCGUGCGGGAUGCCGGGCUUCGGGUGGUAAACCGCUUUCGACUGUGACGAGGCGUGAGUGACGGUAAUGGGUAAAGAAGCACCGGCUAACUACGUG
This 468-nucleotide ribosomal RNA is filed under the name uncultured bacterium. Its description in RNAcentral is "partial 16S ribosomal RNA". It matches the Rfam family "Bacterial small subunit ribosomal RNA", at positions 28 to 507 of the family's 1533-position model. The record is from RNAcentral.